AACGAACGCUGGCGGCAUGCCUAACACAUGCAAGUCGAACGAUACCUUCGGGUCUAGUGGCGCACUGGUGCGUAACUCGGUGGAACCUGCCCUUAGGUUCGGAAGAACUCCCCAAAGGGGUGCUAAUACCGGAUAAUGUCUUCGGACCAAAGAUUUAUCGCCUUUGGAUGGGCCCGCGUUGGAUUAGCUAGUUGGUAGGGUAAAAGCCUACCAAGGCGACGAGGCAUAGCUGGUCUGAGAGGAUGAUCAGCCACACUGGGACUGAGACACGGCCCAGACUCCUACGGGAGGGAGCAGUGGGGAAUAUUGGACAAUGGGCGAAAGCCUGAUCCAGCAAUGCCGCGUGAGUGAUGCAGGCCUUAGGGUUGUAAAGCUCUUUUACCCGGGAUGAUAAUGACAGUACCGGGAGAAUAAGCUCCGGCUAACUCCGUG
RNAcentral lists this ribosomal RNA (432 nucleotides) under uncultured bacterium. RNAcentral describes it as "partial 16S ribosomal RNA". It matches the Rfam family "Bacterial small subunit ribosomal RNA", at positions 29 to 507 of the family's 1533-position model. The record is from RNAcentral.